CAGUCGCCACGGGAAUACGAAGGGUGCAAGCGUUACUCGGAAUUACUGGGCGUAAAGCGUGCGUAGGUGGUGGUUUAAGUCCGUUGUGAAAGCCCUGGGCUCAACCUGGGAAUUGCAGUGGAUACUGGCAAGCUAGAGUGUGUCAGAGGAUGGUGGAAUUCCCGGUGUAGCGGUGAAAUGCGUAGAGAUCGGGAGGAACAUCAGUGGCGAAGGCGGCCAUCUGGGACAACACUGACGCUGAGGCACGAAAGCGUGGGGAGCAAACAGGAUUAGAUACCCCCGUAGUCCCUGUCUCUUAUAC
Molecule: ribosomal RNA, 301 nt
Filed under: uncultured bacterium
Lineage: Bacteria
Description: partial 16S ribosomal RNA
Rfam family: Bacterial small subunit ribosomal RNA
Source: RNAcentral